UUCACACCGGAGGAGAUGACGGCUGCACUCCGGGAGCUCGGGUAGGCGGUUGCGGGCAUCCGCACCUUCCUCUUGGGACCCUAUGCCCCGAAGCCGCCCGGCUCCUUAGCUCCCACGAUGGCGCCCCAGCAGCUGCCGCCUCCGCGUCCACACUCCCAUAGGUCACCGGCCGCCGGCUUUGGGGUGUCCUCGGUGCCAGGGGUGCCCAUCCACCAGGUCCGGUUCCCCGUUGCCAUCGCUGUUGUUGGCCUGGCUCGCCGGGUCCCUCGGGCCGGUCUACNN
RNAcentral lists this long non-coding RNA (282 nucleotides) under Hordeum vulgare. Its description in RNAcentral is "long non-coding RNA (HVUL_LNC019106)". Lineage: Eukaryota; Viridiplantae; Streptophyta; Magnoliopsida; Poales; Poaceae. The record is from RNAcentral.